GUUUGUUUAAAAAUACACUUUGAUUGAAGGUGAUGCCUUGAUAGACAAACUCGAAAAAAUAAUUUUGGUGGUUUCAUCUCUAAGGUGAUUUCAAGCUCAUAAUAUACUUACAUGGAUAGCGAUUUCAAGCUCAAGGAAAAAUAAGUCAAGGCAGGCGAAGAAAAGUAUUGGCAAUGCACAAAGCAGUGGAAGACUAUGAGAUAUGCUUAGCUAGUGUUGCGAGAAAUGCUGUAUAUCUGGCGUAUAUUAUGUUGUUUCCAAGUUUGUUAUUUGUGUUGGUUUGGAAGUGUUGCGUCUGGUUUGUCAAUAAGUAUAUCUAAGUAUGCUAUUGCUCAGACUUUGCAAUUAGAUGCAGAUGUAGAUGCUGUUGCAGCUGGCUCUAUAUGUAUAGAUAAUUUAGCUGCACAGAGGCUGCUACUCUUGCUCCUUUAGCUGUGUAACAACACAUAAUUAGAAGCUCAUUGAAAUGCAAUAACUUUCCUCAAAUAAUACAAUACAUUAUGAGGAACUAUAUAUUACCUAGAGGAAUUGCAUACAUAUGUAUGAAUCUAAUUGCAUACAUAUUUUGCUCAGUAUAAUUAUUCAAAUGUCUUGAAUUGUUUGCAUAUCAUAUGUUACUCCUUAAGUCCAGAAACAUACACCGGGAGUGCAAUGAUGGAAUAAUGCUUUAGGAAGUGGAUUUGGAGGAUAGCAAGUAAGUGAAACAAAAGGUGGGCAACCUCUGUACUAUAUGAAUGUUAUCUCAGCUUUUUCAAGUUUUUAUAUAUCAGCCCAGCAUAGAGUUUUAAUUGUGAUGUAGGCUGGUGGAAUUCACACGCGCCACGAAUCAGCCCAAUCAAGAUGUGAAUUCACUUUACAUAACAGUGAAGAAAGAGUAGAUGGUGGUGCAACUUCAACUGUAAUGCAGAAAAUUCAAAUUCUCCGAUCUUUAUACCUACCACGCUGGCUGCCAGUGGUGAGGCGCAACAAGUUGAUGCGCAUGGGAUGAAAGAAAAACAAGUGCAGGUCGAUGAAUUUGCAAUUAGAUGCAGCUGUAGCUGCAGUUAGCUCUACAUGUGUAGAUCAUUUGCUGCUGCUCUUGCUCCUCCUUCUGUGAAACAACAAACAAGAAGCUCACAGUUUCAUCCCUACCAAAUCGACAAUGCCUUGAUUGUUGUUCAACAGCCCGACUCAACUUCCGCUCUAGUUUUGGUGAUGCUAAGCUUCGAUAGUACUCUGUUGCAGACUCACCAACUUUGGCUGCAAAAACUAACUCAUGAUGCAAAAAGUUGUAAACUGCCCAGAAAGAUAAACUUAUCUUUCCUGUUCCUUCCUUUUUCAUGUUCAAAGAUAUAAUCUUAUCUUUCCUGUUCCUUUAUUUUUUGUGUUCAAAGAUAAUCCAACAUUUUAAGUGAGCAAAUGUAAAAUACCACCACAACACUACGUCUUUCAUGUGUGUUAAUGAGCUCAAGUGACUGUAUAACCUGAAAGUGACAUGCUUGAAUAUAGGCGGGUACAGUGAUGAAAAAGUUAUGAAUGCAAUACAAUGCCAUUCUCCUCAUCUCUUUCACCAAUUGAGCUCAAAUGCCACACAACUGAGUGGCUCAAAUUUGUAAAGCAGAAUAAUGCGUGUAAUGCCACUUCCACUAUUACUAUUCAUAUUUGUACUGCUUUCUACCGCAGCUGGUAGUUGUGAUAAUAUAAGGAAAGCUGAAAAAGUUAAUCCAAAUGUAGAUAUAACUGUCACCUCCUUCACUGAUACAUUGUGCUUUGAAUAUCUUCAACAGACCGGAACAUGGCUAUUACCUCCUUCACUGAUGAGCAUACUACUUCUCCUGUUCCUCCAUCAAGAAUCUUUCAAGGCCUUCAUGGUUGAUUCUCACAAUUUCAUGCCAAAGUUGAUGCCACGAGCUAUUAAAAAGUAUUGAAUUUUUCCAGGGUGAUGGAAGUGUUGAUUAGACUCCCUUUUUAAUCUUUAGUAAUUUUUAACCGUGGUUUCUUUUCUGCAGGUGGAAACUUUAAGUCCAUAUAUAAGUAUUGGAUCGAUGAGUUCAAUGCCGAGAAGUUUGUUUAAAAAUACACUUUGAUUGAAGGUGAUGCCUUGAUAGACAAACUCGAAAAAAUAAUUUUGGUGGUUUCAUCUCUAAGGUGAUUUCAAGCUCAUAAUAUACUUACAUGGAUAGCGAUUUCAAGAUCAAGGAAAAAGAAGUCAAGGCAGGCGAAGAAAAGUAUUGGCAAUGCACA
This 2223-nucleotide long non-coding RNA is filed under the name Nicotiana tabacum (common tobacco). Its description in RNAcentral is "long non-coding RNA (NTAB_LNC008931)". Lineage: Eukaryota; Viridiplantae; Streptophyta; Magnoliopsida; Solanales; Solanaceae. The record is from RNAcentral.